GCCUCAUACAUGUUGUUGGGUAUAAAAUACCCUCAACCGAAGUUCUCAAUGGGAUUGACCCUCACGGGCUCGUCUCCAACUCCGACACCAACUUCAACUACAAGGAAGACUCCGCCCGGACUCCUACGGGAGCCGGGCUCUGUCGCCAGCUUCAACCGCAAGUAGACUCCACCUGGACUCCUACGGGAGCCAGGCUCCAUCACCAACUCCA
This 211-nucleotide long non-coding RNA is filed under the name Elaeis guineensis (African oil palm). RNAcentral's name for it is "long non-coding RNA (EGUI_LNC042668)". The record is from RNAcentral. Lineage: Eukaryota; Viridiplantae; Streptophyta; Magnoliopsida; Arecales; Arecaceae.